Molecule: transfer RNA, 65 nt
Filed under: Loxodonta africana (African savanna elephant)
Lineage: Eukaryota; Metazoa; Chordata; Mammalia; Proboscidea; Elephantidae
Rfam family: tRNA
About the family: Transfer RNA (tRNA) molecules are approximately 80 nucleotides in length. Their secondary structure includes four short double-helical elements and three loops (D, anti-codon, and T loops).
Source: Rfam by way of RNAcentral
GGUUGCACAAUGGUAAAGCACUUGGCUGCUAACCAAAAGGUUGAUGGUUCAAAUCCACCAAACCU